Lutra lutra (Eurasian river otter) is the source of this 1046-nucleotide long non-coding RNA. RefSeq lists it as uncharacterized. NCBI's taxonomy places the organism in Eukaryota, Metazoa, Chordata, Mammalia, Carnivora, Mustelidae. The transcript has 3 exons. The record is from RefSeq and is a predicted model, not a curated record.
CUUCCCAGACUCAGUGCUGAGGGGUCAGGGUGAUGUUAGGAAAGGGGUGAGGAGGGCUGCCCACGGAUUUCAUGCAGCAGUUCAGAUGCAAAGCCUGAGUGCCUGCCAUAGAUUAGGGCCUCCAGAGUGGGCGUCAUCAAAGCAGGGAAAGGGGAAGAGCAGGGAGAAGGUGCUUAUGGACAGAUGAGAGAGGAAGCCCAAGAGAUGGAGGUGGAAAUGAAUUACAGGUGUAGUGUUUCUUCUUCCAUCAGAAUCGUCGUCUUCUGUGGAAUCCUCCUCCAGUUCAGAGAGCAGUGAGGAUGCUAGGGUGGCUGUGAGAGAGGAUAAAGGGGAGUUAGUGGAGCUGACAACCUAUGGCCUGCUGCUCUGGGUGGGACAGCAAGUGUGUGAAGCAGGUCCAGAAGCCCCUUAACACAGGCUUGGAGGACCCUGGCCCAUGACGGUGGUCUCCAGGCAGCUUCAUGGGGGCGUCCUUCCCUUGGGAACACGUCUACAGGAGAGGGUGGUUGGUUCUGCAAAGUCAUGACCAUGACCAGGUCUGGGUAGGUGCCAAGUAAGACCCAGAAACUAUUGUGCACCAUUCCUGAGAGGCCAUGAGUAAAGAGACCAAGCUUUGACAUGUGGCAGCAGCAAAGGGAGGCAAGAGCAGGUUUUAUGGGAAAGGUCCUUAAAAUAGCCACCCAAGGAGUCGAGUGGUGAUGACAAACCCAGCCUACACUAAAGGCCUGUGGUCACAAUGUCUGUUCUUUUUAUUCAGAAACUACGAAAUGAGCAAAUCAUGCCUGUUGCCAAUGCAUCCCUUUCCUUGGUGGUUUUUUUAUUCACCUUCUUCUUUCUCCAGAGAACCAGGGGCAACACCCUGUUCCCAGGAGCCCUGUCCCACUGUUCCCUUCCUCUGUGCUGUUCCCUACCUGAAGAGAAUUCAUCCUCACUGCUGGAGUUGUCGAUGCUGUCUACACCCAAAUCUGUAGGAACUGAGACAGGAGCAAUGCUGUUAUGAGAGAGACUGCCUUACCUAUUCAUCCCAGUUCUAUUGAAAUGUCUAU